UGGCGCAUUCCGGAACUUUGUGCGUGCGGCGUAUGUGUGCGGGUUGCGUGAUGAGUUUGCUGCGUUUGUUUUCUGUGCCAUUUGCCUCGCUGUGACAUCUUUGGUAUUCCAACUUGUUGCUCGCUCUUUAUGGGCUACACGUUGCCUCGAAGAUCACCAUGAUCGCCUCCGACUCAGCCACAUCGAAGAAUCAAAAUGAGCCUGGAGACGCCACUGCCGGAAUGCGAAAGGUUGGAGAAGUGCUCAUUCAGAUGAUCCUGGCACAGCUUGCCAUGGUGGACCAGGCAAGUUUGCAAGGGCCUUGAUUCACCAUGUGGUCACGGAGAAGAACCUCAUGGGCCACUCACUUCUCGGAAACAACACCACCA
This is a long non-coding RNA of Dermacentor silvarum, 368 nucleotides long. RefSeq lists it as uncharacterized. Lineage: Eukaryota; Metazoa; Arthropoda; Arachnida; Ixodida; Ixodidae. The record is from RefSeq and is a predicted model, not a curated record. The transcript has 3 exons.